RNAcentral lists this long non-coding RNA (218 nucleotides) under Elaeis guineensis (African oil palm). RNAcentral's name for it is "long non-coding RNA (EGUI_LNC017788)". The record is from RNAcentral. Lineage: Eukaryota; Viridiplantae; Streptophyta; Magnoliopsida; Arecales; Arecaceae.
CCUUUUAUGAACCCAUGACUGGAUAAACACAAACUAUCCUAGAAUAAAUACCAACUCUAUAUAAUAAACAGAAACUACGCAUAAUAAAUAGAAACUCUACGACGAUAAAUAGAAACUGUCAAAGAUAAACACAAACAAAGACUCUUCAAUAAAAGAUAUCCAAUGGAUAAAUCCCAAAUCCAAAUGAAUUUUAAUUUUAAAUUCUAAAGUCUUUCCAA